Molecule: RNA transcript, 4371 nt
Organism: Xiphophorus couchianus (Monterrey platyfish)
Lineage: Eukaryota; Metazoa; Chordata; Actinopteri; Cyprinodontiformes; Poeciliidae
Gene: ipo8
Gene name: importin 8
Exons: 25
Source: RefSeq, a predicted model, not a curated record
GAAGAGUCGUUCCGUUUUGUUUACUGUGUUAAAACGACAAGGCUAGUGACCCGUCUGCUUCGGUGAAAUGCUGCCUCACUAUUUAAACACCAGUGUUUAGUUCUCUUAUUUUGAAUGAAAUGGUCGGAAGCUGUAAACUCACUCCCGGAAGUUUUUAUUUUUUUAUUUUUCCUGUUUUCUGGCUGUAGAAAGAGAAAAAGUCGUGCAGACGUGCUUAGCUUAGGUUGAUUGUAUGUUCGAAUAAAACCUGUAGGGCGGCCGAACUGACCUCACAUGGACCCGAACCGAAUUAUCCAGGCUCUGAAGGGCACAAUCGACCCGAAUCUGAGGUUAGCGGCGGAGAAUGAGCUUAAUCAGUCCUAUAAAAUCAUCAACUUUGCUCCCACCCUGCUUCAGAUCAUUGUGUCAGAGCAGGUGGAGUUUCCUGUCCGCCAAGCAGCUGCCAUCUACUUGAAGAAUAUGGUGAGUCAGUACUGGCAGGACAGGGAGCCAUCUGUGGGAGAGGUGGUUUUUCCUUUCAACAUUCAUGAGAAUGAUCGACAGCAGAUCCGAGACCACAUAGUGGAGGGUAUCAUCCGUUGUCCAGAGUCCAUACGAGCCCAGCUGACCAUGUGUCUGAGAGCCAUCAUUAAGCACGACUUCCCAGGACGCUGGACCGCCAUUGUAGACAAGCUCAGCAUGUACCUGCAGUCUCAGAACAGCGGCACCUGGUACGGCAGCCUGCUGGCUCUCUACCAGCUUGUCAAAACAUACGAGUACAGGAAGGCAGAUGAGAGGGAGCCGCUACUGGCAGCCAUGCAGAUUUUUCUGCCUAGGAUUCAACAGCUCAUCAGCCAGCUGCUUUCUGAUGCGACCAUUUUUUCUGUCCUCAUCCAGAAGCAGGUCCUCAAGAUCUUCCAUGCUCUUGUCCAGUACUCGCUGCCCCUUCAGCUGAUCAACCACACUGUGAUGACGCAGUGGAUGGAAAUUCUGCGAUCCAUUGUGGACAGAGACGUACCUGCAGAGACUUUGGAAGUUGAUGAGGAUGACCGUCCAGAGCUGGCUUGGUGGAAGUGUAAGAAGUGGACUUUGCGCAUCAUCACUAGACUGUUUGAGCGGUAUGGAAGCCCUGACAAUGUGACCAAGGAGUACCAGGAGUUUGCUGACUUUUUUCUGAAGACCUAUGCAGUAGGCAUACAACAGGUCCUGCUGAAAGUGGUCGACCAGUACCGACGGGGUCAGUAUGUUACUGCUCGGGUUUUGCAACAGUGCUUCACCUACCUCAACCAGGGUCUUUCACAUUCACUGACAUGGAAACAGAUGAAGCCACAUAUGCAGACUAUAUGCCAUGAGGUCAUCUUCCCUCUAAUGUGCUACAGAGAUGAGGAUGAGAGGCUGUGGCAGGAAGACCCCUAUGAGUACAUUCGAAUGAAGUUCAACAUCUAUGACGACCAUUCCCUUCCAGCAACCGCUGCACAGAGUCUCCUGUGUAAAGCUGCUCGCAAGAGAAAAGAGAUUCUCCCUCAGAUGAUGGCGUUCUGCCACAAACUCCUGGCAGACCCCUCUACUGACCCCCGGAGUAAGGAUGGAGCACUGCACUGCAUUGGAGCUCUUGCUGAGCCCUUACUAAAGAAGAGAAUAUACAGGGAGCAGAUGGAGUCAAUGCUGCAAAACUAUGUGUUUCCACUGCUCAAUUCUCCAAUGGGUUACCUUCGAGCCAGGUCAUGUUGGGUGCUGCAUUGCUUCAGCCCACUGUGUUUCCAUAACGAGCUGGUACUUAGGAACGCAGUGGAGCUGGUCAGACAAGACCUUAUAGACGACAAAGAGAUGCCUGUUAAGGUGGAAGCAGCCAUUGCUUUGCAGACACUUGUGAGCAACCAGGAGCAAGCCAAAAUGUACAUCAGGCCAUGCAUUCGCCAGGUGAUGCAGGAGCUUCUACAUGUGGUUAGAGAGACGGAGAAUGAUGACCUUACCAACGUCAUUCAGAAGAUGAUUUGUGAAUACAACCAAGAGAUGGCUGCUAUAGCAGUGGACAUGACACAAAACUUGGCGGAGAUCUUUACCAGAGUUCUGCAGAGUGAAGAGUAUGAGGAGAAUGAGGACAAGACUGUGAUGGCUCUGGGCAUCCUUAGCACAAUAGACACCAUUCUUACUGUCAUGGAGGACCACAAAGAGAUCACUCAGCAGCUGGAAGGGAUCUGUUUGCAGGUGAUUGGCCUGGUGCUGCAGAAGCCCAUCAUAGGUAUGGCAGAGUUCUAUGAGGAAAUCCUGUCUCUGGCUUUUGGCCUUACCUGUCAGACCAUCUCUCCUCAGAUGUGGCAACUGCUUGGUGUUCUUUACGAGGUCUUCCAGCACGAUUGCUUUGACUACUUCACAGAUAUGAUGCCUCUUUUGCACAACUAUGUUACUGUGGACACAGAUAUGCUCCUGUCCAACCCAAAGCACUUAGAGGUCAUCUACAGUAUGUGCAAAAAGGUGCUGACUCUGGACGCUGGUGAUGAUGCAGAGUGUCAUGCUGCUAAACUUUUAGAAGUGAUCAUUCUGCAGUGCAGAGGCAGAGGCAUUGAGCAGUGUAUCCCUCUGUUUGUGGAGGCAGUGCUGGAACGUUUGAUGCGGGGGGUGAAGUCCAGCGAGCUGAGGACCAUGUGUCUGCAGGUGGUCAUUGCUGCCCUGUAUUACAACCCAGCUCUGCUCAUUCAGACUUUGGACAACAUGCACUUUCCUCACAGCCCACAGCCCAUUACAGCCCACUUCAUCAACCAGUGGAUAAAUGACACUGAAUUCUUCCUGGGAUUCCAUGACCGUAAGAUGUGCAUCAUCGGUUUGACCAUGUUGAUGGAGCUCCCCAGCCGACCGACAGCGCUGGAAAGAGUAGCCGGUCAGAUCAUCCCUUCCAUCCUGCUCCUUUUCCUGGGUCUCAAACACAUGUAUGCAUCCCGUCUCAUCAACAAGCCAGACCUGCUUGCCCAUGCAGCGGCUCAUGAUGAAGAUCAAAAUGAAGAGAUCCCCAGUGAUGAAGAUGAGGUGAAUGAAAGCCAAAAUACCAUACAUCAGUCCAGCAUGGCAGCAGGCCAGGGAGGUGACAAUGACGAUAAUGAUGAUGAGGAUGACUACUGGGAUGAAGAUGCUUUUGAGGGAACACCCCUCGAGGAAUACAGCACGCCUCUGGACUAUGACAACGGAGAGGACGAGUACGAGGUCUUCACCUCCGCCCUGCUAAGGUGGGGGUGCAUGUUUCAGGAAUUCAGAACAGCAAUGCUCCCUGGUACCAGUGUUUGACGGCUCCACUUAGUGACGAUCAGAAAAAACAACUCCAGGAAAUCUACAGCAUCUCACAGCAGAGAAGGAGCACCGCUGCCAAGGGCCACUGAGCGCCGAGGAGACAAAUGUCCUGCUGUAUCAAAGCACUGGGUCAAAAUAAAAAAAAUAAAUAAAAAAGAAGAGUAAAGAGAAGCUGACCUGACUUGAACUAUGAUUUCUGUUCAGUCUGCUGUUUAAGAACAGAUCAACCCAUAUCAGAUGAGCGGGAUUCAAACAAAACCAGAUUGGAUGAGGCUGGACUUGGGAGAGUUAAGGACCUGAUGCACUGCUGUAAUCUUCCUAGCACCACAGGAUUGCUGUUCUAACUGUAUAUGUGUGUGAGGACAUCUAUAAAUCUAAUUGUAUGUGACCAGCAGAAUCCCUGCAAAUAUUUUGUGUGUGUAGUCCCAUUUUUUCUGUGGUGAAAGAUCAGUCCUUGUGUCUGAGAACCUCUACAGUAUGAAGUCAUCUCACAAUGUGUCUUUACACUGUGAGCUUGUCUUUGUCUCUGUUCCUGAACAUGCAUCAUCUCAUGAAGCAAAACGCCAUUUCCAGCAGGACACUGUGUGUACUGUGUCCAGGACAAAUGUUCACACACCUUUAGCUGGGAUCUUCAUUUUUAAAUGUUUGGAGACAGAAAUAUUUCAGGAGGCAUUUUUCUCUUUGUUUUGUUUUUUUGUAAAAUUCUUCAGUUAAUUUGGCUAAUCUGAGAAAAUCCAAAAAUUCUCGUAACACUCUGCUGACUUGGUUUGGUUGUGUUUGUACUCCUGCAACUAUAUUUUGCUCAAUAUUAAAAUUAAUUCAUCAGUCCUAAAUGUACAAAAUGUGAGGGUCAAAUAGUAAGCAAGAACAACUGUUCAAAUAUUUCUUUGCAGUCCUGGGAAAGAUGGAAUAAAAUUAAUUCAUCUUUCGUAGGAGCAUUAUGUCACACUUGGAAUAUUUCAACACUUUCAACUUUUAUUUUGUGUAACUCAGAAUGGUUGGUUUAUUUCUGUCACUAGAAGGUGCUACUAAUACAUGUUGAUGGUUGUUUGACAUUAAUAUGAGAGAACUUUGUGUUUUUAAUAUUAAACCAUUAAAUAUUUGUCAGCA